This 1567-nucleotide long non-coding RNA is filed under the name Sus scrofa (pig). RNAcentral describes it as "lncRNA (ENSSSCG00030063478.1)". Lineage: Eukaryota; Metazoa; Chordata; Mammalia; Artiodactyla; Suidae. The record is from RNAcentral.
CUGACAGUUGCAAAUCCACCGCUCUCUGCUGUGCUGCUGUGCUGAGAAGGGGACUUUGCAAACCGCCUUUUCCCGGAGCUUGGCUUGCUUCCUGCUUCUGCCGGCAGAGGGCUCUGCACGGGGCGGGCCCAGGGAGGGAGGCGGGGCCUCAUGACCGGCGGGCUUCGCCCACCCCGGAUGCGGUGGCGCCUCGCCCGGCGGCCGCCGCUGGUUGCAGCCUUCCCCCUUCUUCCCGCGCUUCCAGAAGCAGCCUCGUGGGAGGCGCCGUCUUCCUCAGAAGCACCUUCUCUAAACCCCUGGUCCCAGCAGCAUCCGGGUAGCAGCGCUCCCGCCUCCACAGGAAUGAGAUGUAAGCCAGGAGGCAAGCCUGAGGCCGAGAAGCCACCAGGGAUGGCAGAGUCUCCUGCAGGAUUGAAGGUGGCCAGGGCCGAGGUCAAGGCCCCGAUGGAGGCCGCAGGCAAGGUGAGUGUCAGGCAUGCUCCCAGCUCUUAUCUCUGGAGGCCUGUGGGGAUGCCCGUCGAAAACCACAGUCAGGAGUUCCCUGGUGGCCUAGUGGUUAAGGAUCCAGCAUUGUCCCUGCUGUAGCUUGGGUUUGAUCCCGGGCCUGGGAACUUCUUCAUGAUGUGAGUGUGGCACACACAAAAAAACCAAAAAAACAAAAAAAAAAAACAAAAAAAACCAACCGAAAAACCACCCCCCAGCCAAUAUCUGCCUCUGUGGCCACACUAAGAAAAUCUGAAAGAAUGGGGAGUUUGGGGACUGUUUCUACCUGUUCUUCACUAACUUCAUGUUGGUUUCCCCAUUUUUUGUUAACAAACUUAUUUUCUGGCAGUCUUGGGAUAAGAAAGCUAGAAAGAGGACUGGGCGGAUCAUGAUGAUUUCCUGUUUCAGAUAGUGUCACCUUUAUCCCUCAGGAGACAGCGUUCCUGGAAACUAAUUACCCAGGGAAUUCAUGAUUGGGUACAGUGACAUGUGAGUUAUAAAGAUAUUAACCUCCAGCCAGUUUGCUGUCAAAACACAAUGUGAUGGGAACUUGGUCUGUCAUCACCCAACUAAUGGAGGCAAAAGGCUAGGAUGUUUACAUUGUGUAUUUGCUUGGAUUUCAGAGAAAGGCGUUUGACAUGGAAUCUCUCAGAGCUUACCAAAGGGGAAAUUUUGAGGAGUACACUUAGCGGUAAUAUACCACUGAUACAUAUUAGGAGUAUUCUUGCUAAUAUUUGUUGAGUUCCUCCUGCUGUACUUCAGACUGAUACAGGCACUACGUCUAAUACUCCUAAAAAUCCUUCAAGGAAAGUAGCGUUGUCCCAUUUUAGCUCUGGAUCGUACUCAAAGGUCACCCUGCCAGCGGAGACAAAACUGAAAUUCAUGUUUGUUUUUUGAACUCUAAAAUUGGGGGCCCUCGUCAGUAUACUGCGGUCCCUAAACUUGUUCUGGAAAGGGCCAGAUAUUUUCAGCUUUGCUCAGUGUGGCAGCUUCUCAGUUCAGCUCCUGGAGCACAAAGACAGCCAUAGACAAUACAAGAAUGAAUGAGUCUCUCUGUGACCCAAUAAAACUUGAUUCACAGACA